Molecule: ribosomal RNA, 427 nt
Filed under: Talaromyces radicus
Lineage: Eukaryota; Fungi; Ascomycota; Eurotiomycetes; Eurotiales; Trichocomaceae
Description: eukaryotic LSU rRNA
Rfam family: 5.8S ribosomal RNA (bases 111-266)
Source: RNAcentral
CCUGGCCCCGGUUCGCCGGGGGGCUUUCUGCCCCCGGGCCCGUCGCCCGCCGAAGCACCCUAGAACCCCUGUCUGGAACAGUGAGUCUGAGUUCGGAUAUGAAUCAUUAAAACUUUCAACAACGGAUCUCUUGGUUCCGGCAUCGAUGAAGAACGCAGCGAAAUGCGAUAAGUAAUGUUGAAUUGCAGAAUUCCGUGAAUCAUCGAAUCUUUGAACGCACAUGUCGUCCCCCUGGCAUUCCGGGGGGCAUGCCUGUCCGAGUCGUCAUUUCUGCCCUCCAGCACGGCUGGGUUGUUGGGCGCUGUCCCCCCGGGGACACGCCCCAAAAGCAGUGGCGGUCGCCGUCGUCGGGUCCUCGAGCGUAUGGGGCUUGUCACCCGUCUCGGGAGGGACUCGGUCGGCGCUGGUCUUCCUCCAGGCGACCCUU